This is a non-coding RNA of Podarcis lilfordi (Lilford's wall lizard), 16984 nucleotides long. NCBI's taxonomy places the organism in Eukaryota, Metazoa, Chordata, Lepidosauria, Squamata, Lacertidae. The record is from the annotation of a GenBank genome assembly.
ACAAACUUAGUUGGUCUCUAAGGUGCUACUGGGGAAAAAAUCUUGUCUGAGAUUAAGCAAAAAGAAAAAUAAUUGGAACAAUCUCCAACUAUCUGGCAAAUUAAGAUGUUGCUGAGACAGUUGUCUAUGCAGGAGACAGGAACAAAACUGGAUUAUGCUAAAUGAAUUUAAAUUUUAAAAAAAUUGCUCACAAACCUGGGAAAUGGUUAGCAUAUAAACUGCAGAAGGAGAAAGAAAGGAAGUUGAUAUUGAAGUUGCAAGAAGAAAAUGCUGUAAUAACAGGUAAGACAAAUAUGAAAAAGUAUUUCACCAAUAUUAUUCUAAGUUGUAUAAAGGUCAAGUAAUAUAUUAAUAUAUAUAUAUAUAGACAAAUAGACAACAUCUACCAAAGAUUUCAGACUUUCAAAGACAAAUAAUGAUUGGCCCUAUAACUACUCAAGAAUUAUGUGGUGCUAUAAAAAAAUAAAAGAAAGGAAAAGUACCAGGCCCAGAUGGACUAUUGGCUUCUUACUAUAAGUCUUUUGAAGAGGAACUUUUACAACCCUUGCAACAGACAAUGAAUAAUAUUCUACAGUGGUAAAAUAGCAGAUGUCUGGAAAGAAGCCAAUUACACAUAUACCUAAUUGUCCCCGCUACUUUUCAUUCUAGUCUUGGAAGUUUUACUUAGAGACAUUAGACAAUAUGAGAGAAUUGUGGGAAUAAAGAUUUUAAAAGAAAUGUUUAAGUUAAGGGCAUUUACUGACGACCAGAUGUUAAUUCUAGAAAACCCACUGCAGGGAGUGGGGAUUCUUAUGGAGAAACUAAAUGAUGUUGGUAUCUUAGCAGGGUCUAAGGUUAAUAACCAAAAAGCAAAAAUGUUAACAAAGAAAAUGACAACAGAAGAUGAGAAGGUUUUGAAACAGGGUUUCAAUUUGGAAAAAGUAAAAUAUUUGGAUAUUAUUGUGGCAAAUGUGAAUUGUAUGUUCCGCCAAAAUAAUUAUGUUAAGACAUGAGCUGAAAUUUAAAAAUAUAUGUCAAGAUGGAAGGUGCUAAAAUUGUCAUUGCUGGGUAGAAUUUCAGUGACAAAGAUGAAUGUAUUGCCUAGAAUUAUGUCUUUAUUUUAAACGAUACCUAUUUUGACUAAUAACUUAACACUUAAACAAUGGCAAAAAUAUUUAUCUAUGUUUCUAUGGCAGGGAGGGAAAAAAAACAGAAGUCAAAAUGAAAGUAUUGCAAGACAUAUGUGUAUGUUCCAGACGUUUUCAUUGCUACAUUUUCACAGAAAUGUCAAGUGCAAUCAUUUAUUUUUUCAACCUUCAAAAUCCAGUCAGCAGAAAAGUCAUGAAUUCAAACAUAUUUCCACCAGUACAGUGGUACCUCAGGUUACAUACGCUUCAGGUUACAUACACUUCAGCUUACAGACUCCGCUAACCCAGAAAUAGUGUUUCAGGUUAAGAACUUUGCUUCAGGAUGAGAACAGAAAUCUUGCUGUGCCGGCGCGGCAGCAGCAGGAGGUGCCAUUAGCUAAAGUGGUGCUUCAGGUUAAGAACAGUUUCAGGUUAAGUACGGACCUCUGGAACGAAUUAAGUACUUAACCUGAGGUACCACUGUAUAGAUUUUGUUCAGAAUGCUCAUUCUCACAGAACCGUAAGGAAGAAUCAUAAAAAGGAUGGUUAAUUUUCGUUCUAUAAACUAGCGCAGGCAUUGACAGGCUUCUUGAGCCCAUUUGCAAACCAGAGAAACUUAUAGGUAGCACACACCUAUGCACACAUCACAACCUAUUCUACUGGCUACUACAGAAUACUUACCAUAUUUUCCCGUGUAUAAGACAAUGUUUUUUCUUAUAAAAUAAUGUUACAAAUUGGGGGUCAUCUUAUAUAUGGAUAGUGCAGAGGGAGGACGGGUGAUUGGUUGCAGCUGCAAGCAGGAGAUUUUCAGCGGGGGUUUUGGGGUAAUUGGUGGCUGCAUAAAGGGCUGCUGUCAUUUGGCUGUUGCUGCUGCAGUUGGGCGGGUGAUUGGUGGCUGUGUCAAGGCUUGCUGUUGAUUGGGUGCCGCUGUGGCAAUUGGGCAGGCGAUUGUCAGCUGCUGGCGGCGAGCGGGCAUACGAUUGGUUUGCUGAUGCGUGCGAUUGUCAGCGUCAAUCAGACGUGUAGUGAUUUCCGGCAAUCCCCACCCCUAUUUUCCUAAUUUGGAGUCCCCAAAAAUAGGGGUCGUCUUAUACACGGGGGCAUGUUAUACACGAAAAAAUAUGGUAUAUUUAUUCCUACUGUCUGCUUCCUGUUAUUUAACUUCCUGAUCCGCAAGCAGUCCUCUCCCCUUAUUCCAUGCAUAGAAAAGUAAAAAACAAGAAAAACCUAUACAGUGGUACUUCUGGUUAAGAAUUUAAUUUGUUCUGGAGGUCCGUUCUUAACCUGAAACUCUUCUUAACCUGCAGUACCACUUUAGCUAAUGGGGCCACCCACUGCUGCUGCUGCUGCUGCGCGAUUUCUGUUCUCAUCCUGAAGCAAAGUUCUUAACCCGAGGUACUAUUUCUGGGUUAGCGGAGUCUGUAUCCUGAAGCGUCUGUAACCUGAAGCGUCUGUAAGCUGAGGUACCACUGUAUAGAAGCACCAUUGCCUCCAACUCUAUCCUUCAUCUUUGCAAUUUGUCAAUGACCUUGAAUUGUAGUUUCAGGGACCAAAUAAAUAUCUUUUAACCAGGGUACUAUUUAUUAAAGGAUUUUGCAUGACUGUAUAUGCUCUGAAUAUUUUUCUGCCUUUAUAUACCGCCUAGUUUGUUUAGGUCUCGAUUAGGACUGGAGUUAAGACUUGAUUAAGACUGUGGACAUACUAUAACUGCAACAAUAAAUCAUGCAGAAAACCAAGCAUAUUGCAGGAAAGGAAAAGAGGGCGGGGGGAAAUAGAACAAUUCCUACCUAAUAUUUAUUUCAGCUGAUUCAAAAAGUCCAGGACUUGGCUUCUUCUUCACAGCACCGGCCUGCAAAUACACCAGUUUUGGGUUUUUUUAAAAAAAUGUUUCAAGGAAUUUCCAGAGGUGCCAAAAAAUGGGCAAGGCCUGCAUAAUUUGCAACCCAUCAAGCUGAAUGCAGUGUAGCCAUCACUUACUUUGGCCUGCCUUGUGCCUGGCAGCUCUUACCAAUUUUACAGUCCUAGGCACACAGACUGGCUGUCAAGGCUCUUCCAGACAACAUACUUAUGGGGUAUUCGUCCUGAUUUGCUUGCACAAAGCUUAUGCAGAGGUCAUACAAUAUUCACUCUGUAUCAAGCAUUCAUUCUGGUUUGCCACAGUGAGCAUCCUGAUUUUCAAAAUGAGCAUUCAUCCUGACUCACUUGCACUGAGGUUAUACGCCUUCCAGUUAAACAAUAGUUUAUCCCACAAUUUUAGUGAAUUACUCCAUCAAUAUUCUAACAUCAUAAAGUUCAUGUUGUUGUUUGAAGUGGAUUUGAUGUACCAGAGCACUUCAAUUCACUUUAAUUUUGCAAUGGGGAAAAAAAAAAUUACUGCAUUGCAGGGGCUUGGACUAGAUCAGGCUUCCUCAACCUCGGCCCUCCAGAUGUUUUGAGACUACAAUUCCCAGCAUCCCAGACCACUGGUUCUGCCAGCUGGGGAUCAUGGGAGUUGUAGGCCAAAAACAUCUGGAUGGCCAAGGUUGAGGAAGCCUGGACUAGAUGAUCCUCGUGGUCACUUCCAAUUCUACAGUUCUCUGUUUCUAUAACCUGGGCCUUCUUUACAGUGGCUCCCUGUCUGUGGAAUUCUCUCCCCAGGGAAGUUCACCUGGCACCUUCAAUAUACACCUUUAGGUGCCAGGCAAAAACGUUCCUUUUCAGCCAGGCCUUUGCCUGACUUGAUCUACAUCCUAUACCCUGUUUUUAAAUGCUGGCUCUUUUUGGGGGGUUUUUUAUUGGAUUGUUGGUUUUGUUUUGAUUUUAAGUAUUUGAUAUUUUAUGUGAACCUCCCUGAGACCUUCGGGUAUAGGGUGGUAUAGAAAUUAAUUAAUUAAUCAAUUAAAUUUCCAGUACACUGGUACCUCGGGUUACAGACGCUCCAGCUGACAGACGCUUCAGCUUACAGACUCUGCUAACCCAGAAAUAGUACCUCAGGUUAAGAACUUUGCUUCAGGAUGAGAACAGAAAUCACACGGCGGUAGUGCAGCGGCAGCAGGAGGCCCCCAUUAGCUAAAGUGGUACCUCAGGUUAAGAACAGUUUCAGGUUAAGAACAGACCUCCAGAAUGAAUUUAGUUCUUAACCCGAGGUACCACAGUAUGUGGUUGAAUCCCUCCAGCAAAAUACAGACAGUCCAAAGACGGCUCAUGCACAGCUGCUGAACUGCAUUCAGUUUCAUGUCACAAACAGUGCAGCACUGAAACAAGCUGACUUUAUUCCAAAAAGGAGUUGGCUUCUGCUUCACUUCCCAGCACUAAAGCAGACUAACAUUACGAAAAAACUAUUUUAGCUAUUGCUGGGAAUCUGCUACACUUUUCCCUGUUCCUUAGCUUCUGACAUCUGAAGUCAGCCCUUUUUAGGGAAGUUUUUGAUGACUGAUGUUUUAAUGUACUUUUAAUCUUUGUUAGAAGCCGCCCAGAGUGGCUGGGGAAACCCAGCCAGAUGGGCGGGGUAUAAAUAAUAAAUUAUUAUUAUAUCCUUAUCAUGCUUUGCAUCAGCUUUGACCUCCCUGCCAUAGCAAAUAUGCUCAGAUUAGUCCUGUAUAAGAAGAGCAUGGAACUUCAGGGCCAGAGGCCAAAAGUGGCCCUCCAGGGCUUUCUAUUUGGCCCUUGGAAAGAUCUAUAGGGCUCCCCUCUCACCAGGCCACAUCCCUCAUUCCUCUCACCCCACUAACCACUGUCAUGUGGCCCUUGGAAAGUUGACCAAAAGUGAAUGGGGCCCUCAGAAUGAAAAAUGUUCCUCAGCCUGCUGUGUAUUGAUACCUGCACUUACCACUUGGAAAGGUCUCUUGCCACUAUAAUCAGUGUGUUCCAUGUCUAUGCCUGAUAAAUGCCAAACCAUCAAUCCAUCCACAUCCCCAUUCGCAGCAAGGCUGGGAGUGGGGAUUAAAAAAAAAAAAAAGAACAAUUGUCAUAUGGAGAGGAAAUCAAUGUUGUGCUAAGGCAAGUGUUACAUCAGUGAAGGCAUUUUGGCUUGCUGGAUCUAAUGAUCCCCCUUCUCUACUCCUCCCACUGUUCUGGGGGUUCUCCUGACCCCCAAAGAGCCAAUUCCAAGGGUGACAGGAAUCAGAGAACAGAAAAUCACAUUGCUCAGGGCUUCUGCUGAUGGGAUUCUUUGGUUGAUUCCUGCCCAUGUGUUUUUCUUAACUAGCUUAUCAACAGUUUUUUGUGCUAGCCAACCUUGCAAAACCUCUCUAGAAUGUUUGGGUGCAAUGUAGAGGAAGCAGCUCUCACCAGCCAUUUUGCUAAAAUAUGAUGCUGCAAAACUUACUUUGCUUCUUUGAGAGAAAAGCGAUGGCAAACCUAGACAGCAUCUUAAAAAGCAGAGACAUCACCUUGCCAUCAAAGGUCUGUAUAGUUAAAGCUGUGGUUUUCCCAGUAGUGAUGUAUGGAAGUGAGAGCUGGACCAUAAAGAAGGCUGAUCGCCGAAGAAUUGAUGCUUUUGAAUUAUGGUGCUGGAGGAGACUCUUGAGAGUCCCAUGGACUGCAAGAAGAUCAAACCUAUCUAUUCUGAAGGAAAUCAACCCUGAAUGCUCACUAGAAGGACAGAUCCUGAAGCUGAGACUCCAAUACUUUGGCCACCUCAUGAGAAGAGAAGACUCCCUGGAAAAGACCCUGAUGUUGGGAAAGAUGGAGGGCACAAGGAGAAGGGGACGACAAGGAUGAGAUGGUUGGACAGUGUUCUCGAAGCUACUAACAUGAGUUUGACCAAACUGCGGGAGACAGUGGAAGACAGGAGUGCCUGGCGUGCUCUGGUCCAUGGGGUCACUAAGAGUUGGACACAACUAAAUGACUAAACAACAACAAAAAACUUACUUCCCCAGAAUUGAGUGCAAGUAAAGGCACAGAACAGUAUAUACACUAAGCCAGACCUCUCUCAGGUUAUUCAGAACUAUGUGGGAUCUAGCAACCCACCAGAUGGAUAGAAUGGAUACCAUUGUAUAAUUGCAAAAUGCUGCAUAUCUAAGAACACAAUUCUUAAAUUAAAUACUGCCUGGGUGAACAGUUCUUAUACUACUUUCUUUAGAUUUGUUGUCUGGAAACACCCUAAAACUCUAGUUUACACUACACUGGUACAUCCAGCUUAUGGGCAGGGAGGACAUUAUAAUCCACUUCUUACGUAUGUUCCCAGGAGUCUAUCUAGGGGAUUCAUCAGACUCAUAGCACCACAGCCAGUGGACUUUCCAGAGGCAUCUGACUGGUCACUAUGGGAAUCAGGAUGCUGAAGUAGACAAGACCUUUCAGAUGAUCUAGCAGGUCUCUUCUAAUGAUGUUAGGUUUAAUUUUAGAGCUGGGGGCAGGGUGGUCUCCUUAGAGGCAUUCUCUAGCUCUUCACUGGAAAGGUGAGCUCCAGUUUCCUGAAGCAGGCAAAUUAUUUCCAUGUGCAUUUAUAGAAAAAAGAAAGAAACAUCAGUGUAAUUAUUGACAAAUUCAUAGUUAAUAAGUUCCUUCAACAGUCCUUAGUGGAACUACCAGGGAUGACGUGCCAAGACAAAGCCAGUGUGAGCACUCAUUUGCUUUCUCUCUGUGACUGGCUUGGCAGCUACCCAGAAGGGGGAACUCAGAGGUGAUCAAGUGAGAUGAUAAAUUGGCUGCUCCUUCAAUGAUAAACCUCAUCUGAUGUGCCACACACACACACACACACAGAGAGAGAGAGAGAGAGAGGGAGGGAGGGAGGGCAUAAACACUUGCUCUGCUUUUCAGCAAGUACUCAGCAAGCUUUGCGUGCCCUUCGCUUUUUGCAACAUGAAGUUGAGUGCGGCCAUCAUAAUCUUCAUAGCUUAAGUUUCCACCCUGCAAAAAAGAAAUAUAUCUCCCAUCUGCAAGAGCAAAUGUAAUGCUAUAAUGAACUUUUCAAUAAGCUGAAUUCACCUCAUCAGGCCAGCAAAGCCAAAACUGAAAUGUUGUAAAAGAGAUUGUAGCUCAAAAGGUUACAGGUUCAGUAUCUGGCAUCUUCAGGAAUAAAACAACCUGGAGCCUUAGAGACCAGGGCAGGUGGGCAGAUUUCAGCCUUGUAGGUCGUAUUUUGUGGUUUUUUCCAGUCACCCAAAAAACCACCAGCCAGAGUCAGGUGCGAAAUAGUGGCUCAGCCUGCUGACGUACAUUAAACGCACUUCCAGAUUACCUGUUUAUUGAACAUUCAUCCUGAUUCAUUUGCAGGAUGAAUAAUUGGCAUCGGCUAUUUAAUGUGCUUGUUCUGAUUAGUUUGAAGGAAGAUUAGACAACAUUGCCUAUUUCACGAGCAUCCAAGCUGUUUAGUUUGCAGGGAGAUUAGACAAUGUUGGCUAUUUAAUAAGCAUUCAUCCUGGUUUGUUUGCAGAGUGGUUAGAAGAUUUUGGAUUUUUAAUUAGCAUUUAUUCCACUUACUUUUCAGGGAAGCUAAAGGAUGUUGCAUCAAAGUGAGUGUUGUCCCACACUCCCCACAGCAUUUGCCUGCCACUCCCAUUAACAAGAAAAGUUUGGUAUUCGGGGAAAGUUGAGUAUGUUGUGCAAGAUAUUCCGGUCAACAGCAGUUAUGCAAUCUGAAUUUGCUGGACUGUGACUGAAUCACACCUCAAUAUAGCAAUGGUUUGUAAACGCACGUAGAGGAAGUCACAAUUACAAAUUGAGUAUUUAUCAUGCUUCUGAGCAGACUUCUGCUAUUUUUAUUUCCCACUUCUUCUACUGCUUUCAAUGUAUUCAGGUUACCAGUAUUAGCAGCAGCACAUAGAUGGAAUUCGAGCUUCUUGCUCCUAAAGAACGACAAGAAAAAAUUAAAAGAAAGAUUAUGUAUACAUUCCAUAACAUUAAGCAAUAACUGUAUGGUAUUUAUAUUUAUUUAUUUAUUAAAUUUCUGUAGCACCCUUCAUUCGAAGAUCACAGAGCAGUUUACAAUAUAAAAACACAAACAUAACAUAGUAAGAAAUGAAAACAACAAUCCCUCCACACAAAGUUUUAAAAGCCAUAGAUUAAUACAUUUUAUCUGUGAGUACAACAGAUAUUUAUAUAAAUAUGGCAACACAGAUAUGUUAAUGUAUUGUUGUUUUAACUGACACAUUUGUCGUGAAUUAUGUUAUUGUUGCGAGACACUGAGACAUUCUUUUAAUAAUAAUAAUAAUAAUAAUAAUAAUAAUAAUAAUAAUAAUUUAUUAUUUGUACCCCACCCAUUUGGCUGGGUUUCCCCAGCCACUCUGGGCGGCUUCCACAAAGACCAAAAAUACACUAAGAGCAAAUACACAAAUAGAAUGAACAAUAAAUAAUAUUAGUGAGAUUCCGAAAUGAGCGAGAGUGUGAGCAAAAUAGGAAAAAGAAAUACAGGGUUUUCAAGUUAAUGCCGUUACCAUUUGAACUACCCAAUACAAUAACCAAGUUUUUCAGUCUAAUUCAGGCAUGAGUCUGAAUUAUUUAUUAUUAUUUCUUAAAUUUGUAUACCACCCUUUAUCCGAAGAUCUCAGGGCAGCAUAAAAAUCAAAAUUUAAAAACACGAUUUUCUAUUCUCAGGUUUUAAUCAACACAUUGCUGCUGGGUUUUUGAGCUGCUUUGGAACUGCUAUUGUUAUACUAUACAGUGGUACCUCGGGUUAAGUACUUAAUUCAUUCCGGAGGUCCGUUCUUAACUUGAAACUGUUCUUAACCUGAAGCACCACUUUAGCUAAUGGGGCCUCCUGCUGCUGCCGCACCACCGGAGCCCGAUUUCUGUUCUUACCCUGAAGCAAAGUUCUUAACCUGAAGCACUAUUUCUGGGUUAGCGGAGUGUGUAACCUGAAGCGUAUGUAACCCGAGGUACCACUGUAUGUGCUGCUCCUUAGCAAGUGGUUGGUUCCAGUGAGUAUUGAUGCAUAUGUCUGAGCUGCCUGCUGGCCCAGGAACGCUCUCCCCGCAACAAGUGGAGAGAAUCCAAAUCUGCCAGUCAUUGUCAACAGGAGUGGUCUCAGGGAUCACUUUAAACCUCUUGUUAAUUACCCAAAUCUACAUAAAUAAAUUAAAUAAAUGCACUUAGGAUUUGGGGGAUGAGUCCCACCCGCUUCCUGUCCACCAUGUGGACACCCAUAUUUUUUCAGAAACCUAACUGAAAGGGGGAAAGCAGUUUAGCCUUUGCUGUUAUGAGACAACAACGGAGAAUCGUUCUUGCCCAGCUAAAGCAGAUUGCCCAGAGAUCCAUCAACAGAACCACGAGCCAUUCCACAACCUGCUUUACAGCAGCUUCAUAUGUAAAUGAAAAGUAAUACGAGUUCAAAAAUGACAACUUUCCAUGUAACACAUUCUUUACCUGCUUCUUCUCUUUCCAAGAAAGUUGCCUUUUGCCCAGCACGUAUGAAAGCUUUGCCAAAGACACCUCAAGUGUCAUAUCACCACCUGAAAUCACGCCAACGUGAGCAAGAUCCUGUUGUUGUUGUUUAGUAGUUUAGUCAUGUCCAACUCUUUGUGACCCCAUGGACCAGAGCACGCCAGGCAUUCCUGUCUUCCACUGCCUCCCGCAGUUUGGUCAAACUCAUGUUGGUAGCUUCGAGAACACUGUCCAACCAUCUUGUCCUCUGCCAUCCCCUUCUCCUUGUGUCCUCCAUCUUUCCCAACAUCAGGGUCUUUUACAGGGAGCUUUCUCUUCUCAUGAGGUGGCCAAAGUAUUGGAGCCUCAGCUUCAGGAUUUGUCGUUCCAGUGAGCACUCAGGGCUGAUUUCUUUCAGAAUGGAUAGGUUUGAUCUUCUUGCAGUCCAUGGAACUCUCAAGAGUCUCCUCCAGCACCAUAAUUCAAAAGCAUCAAUUCUUUGGUGAUCAGCCUUCUUUAUGGUCCAGCUCUCACUUCCAUACAUCACUACUGGGAAAACCAUAGCUUUAACUAGAGAUGACCAAAUGCCGAAAUGUUGGUGCAGUUAAUCUAACCGGCUGCAAAGUGAUGAUGUACAGGGAGUUGGAGGUAUAAUAUCUAUUUAGACAAGGGGUUGGAAACCUUAGGCCAGGAGCCCAAUCUGGCCCCUCCAGGUCUCUCAGGGUACCAUACCUUCCAACAUUUAUCCGGGAUCAAAUCAGACACCGGGACGGCUUCUGUAAAUCCGGAACUGUCCCUGGAAAAUAGGGACACAUGGAGGGUCUGUGACAGUUUUGAGUGCUAGUGUUCUUAAAACUUAAUCCUUUAUAUUCCCAUUUUUUGUGCUUUUUUUUUUUUUGCUUAUAAGUUGCUACAUAAAACAAAAAUCCACCAAUUUUUCAUAAUUUCCCACUUAAAACUAUCACCACAGAACAGUCUACUUUAUUAUAAUUUUAAGAAAUUAUGCACCAUGUACUUGGCCUAUUCAUCACCCGUCUGGUUCCAUAGGUUGAAGCAACAGACCCUCGCAAACACAUUCUGCUCCAUCACUUGCUGAAACUCUUACGGCAAAUCAGGGCGGUUGUUUCCAGCAAAUUGGGGAGGUUGUUUGGUGCAUUGCCUCAUCUUCAAGCUUCCAGUAUGAUCCCCUCCAUGGGAGGCUGAAGGAAAGCCUUUAUCUGACACCAGGAAUGUAGAGAUUAGAUAAGACUUUCUCAAAGUUAUUAAAAUUAUGUUUCUCUUGAUCGCCUCCCACACCAGUUCUAUGUAUCUGCUCCCCUCCUGUUCCCCUCCCUCAGAUGCUCAGUGACAGCCUUAGAGGAGAAAUGUCAUCAAUGGAACUCACAGCUCGCUAAGGAGCAGCAAAUUUAUUAAAGUGAUGACCAAAUUAUAAACCUGGAUGUGAAGACAGGUUCUGGCAGAUUGAGUGGACGAGACCAGUAGUGGAAGGCAGAUUCUGCACAUUCUGACCCUAAACCUCUGCUGCCUUGCUGGAUAUCUUUGGGUGGCUAAGGAGUAAACCCUACAAAAAUCCCGACUGGAGUCCCUAAGACGAUAGGCUGGCGCCUUGGAGCCUCCUUCCAGCAAUUCCUGCAGCCAAGUUGGUGCCAUACAUAUGCCAUAUUCCAUUUGACUUCAUACCAGAGGAGCACUCCACCGUCUCUCGAGACAGAUGCCAACCACAAAGUAAGGCUCAUUGCUUUCCAGAAGCUCAUUCCUUUCUGGAAGCAGUGAACUACUGAAAUAGGAAUGUUGAAUCUAAGUCCCCAACUAGUGCAGCGCUAACCACUUCCACAGGCUGCAUGCAAAUGAAGUGGCACUGAGACAACCUGGUGCCAUAGAGACAUUUCCAACCACAUCUUCUGUUAUGUACUGAGUUGACUAGGAGCCAAAAUGCAGCAGUCUGAUUGGUCCUAGAACAAUGCAGCAGUACGAUCGGUCCACAGGAGCCACCCAAUCCAGCUCCAGGUGGAAGUGAAUCCACAACCUGAUUGGCCCAUGGGAGAAUCCUGGAAUUAGCCAAUCAUGUGCAGCCCAUUGUGUAAAUAAUGUAUAUAAAGCAGAUAUUGUGGGGGAACUUCCAUUCCUCCUCACCACCAUGAGCUGAAUAAAGAGCAUGAAAUCCACUCUCGACUCCGAGUAUAUUUCAUCUUCCAUCACUUCUGACCACUGUCCUCUCAGGUUGGGGCUGGUGGGAGCUAUAGUCAGAACCACUGAGAAGCAAAGAAGAAGAAGAAGGAGUUUGAAUUUGAUAUCCCGCUUUAUCACUACCCGAAGGAGUCUCAAAGCACCUAAGAUUCUCCUUCCCCUUCCUCCCCCACAACAAACACUCUGUGAGGUGAGUGAGGCUGAGAGACUUCAGAGAAGUGUGACUGGCCCAAGGUCACCCAGCAGCUGCAUGUGGAGGAGUGGAGACGCGAACCCAGUUCACCAGAUUACGAGUCUACCGCUCUCAAACGCUACACCACACUGGCUCUCCAGGGUUUUGGAGAAGGUUUGGAGAAGGCAGAUCCACACUAAGUGGAAGCAGGGCUCUCCAGGGUUUCAGAGGAGCAAGUUUCCCCAGCCUUACCUGGAGAUGUUAGGGAUCGAACUGGCACACAAAGCAUGAACUAUGAACUCUCCCCCACAAGAUCAAAAGUGCUCUCUUACUCAGGGACAAGGAGCGUCAUGCACCAUUAAAGUCCCCCAGCCUCUGUCUCCCCACUGUGGGCUGUCACCUCCCCCACCCACCUCCAUCACACUCGGCGCCCCCAAUGCCAAUGGCGCCCCCCAGUGUUGAGCACCGGCACCCAGGCCCUAGCCUCCUCCCUGGCAGGGCAGGCCUCUGGUGAGCCCCACAAGGCUCUCGUGGCUCAAGGGAAGAGCUUCUCAGCUGGAGCCAUGGGGCGCCAAUGCCAUGCUCUCCAGGCAAUUCCAGGUUUGCCACUGUGGUCAGUGCUGCUGCUGAUCUUCCCAAAGCCUCAACCACAGAGUCUCAGUGCACUUGCUAUUUUUAUCCAAAGCACGUGCACCUCCCAUCUGACAUUUAUCCCUUCUGCAGUGACUACAUCCUUAGAUUUGCUGGUGUCGCUGCAGAAGGCUGAACAGAUAUAGCCACCCGCAAACUCUCAGGCUGCAAAGCCUAUGCAAUCAAUCAAUCAAUCAAUCAAUCAAUCAAGCCUUCAUCAUUCAUCUCAUGAGAGAAAGCUUUAAAGGUACCCAGGGAUUUUUAAACAGCAAGGGUUGUUUAUUUGUCACUGUGUUUUUUACAAAGAUUUAAACAAACAUCAGUUUCCCAGAGCUAGGAAUUCACAUAAACACACACAUACUCACAUACAAAACACAAUGCACCUAGCAGUGUAUGUAAAGGUAAAGGGACCCCUGACCAUUAGGUCCAGUCGUGGCUGACUCUGGGGUUGUGGCGCUCAUCUCGCUUUAUUGGCCGAGGGAGCCGGCAUACAGCUUCUGGGUCAUGUGGCCAGCAUGACUAAGCCGCUUCUGGCAAACCAGAGCAGCGCACGGAAACACCAUUUACCUUCCCGCCGGAGCGGUACCUAUUUAUCUACUUGCACUUUUUUGUGCUUUCGAACUGCUAGGUUGGCAGGAGCUGGGACCGAGCAAUGGGAGCUCACUCUGUCACGGGGAUUCGAUCCGCCGACCGUCUGAUCGGCAAGUCCUAGGCUCUGUGGUUUAACCUACAGCGCCACCCACGUCCCAAAGCAGUGUAUAGGUAUAGGCAUAUUUUUGUACCUUGCUAUACAAUUCAAUACGAAAACACUCGAUUUUGGAACAAAGUGGUUAUAAAGCUGUUUUACACCUCUCUAGCUCUGACUACAUUAAUCCAUUUUUCCCUAUUUACCAUUCAGUUAUCCUGUCUCCAAGUGUAGUUUUCCAGUUAUGACAAAUUAGUUCCUUUUAUUUGUUUUUUAAGGCCUCAAAGAGACUUGUGCAGUAGAAAAAAUCAUAAACCACAAUUCAAGAACAUGCAAUAUUAACAUCAAUGAAUAGUACACUGUACAAUUACUACACAGAUGGUAUUGGACUCCUUUGCAAAUGUCAAAAUUAUGUUUUCUUCCAUAGCACUUAAUUGUUGGAGUUGCAAUAAACUUGGGAUAUAUUAUCAUUUAUGGCUGGGAAUGUCAGUUGGUGCAGGAUUUUUUGGAUUCAACUUUGACAGAAAUGGUAAAUAUUAAUAAAGAAACGGUUGUCUGUUGUCCAGAAUUAAUGUUACUGGAAAUUUUUGAGGAUACCAAUGUAAAUAUAUUGUCAAAAGAAUUGGUCUUAUUUAUAUGUGGUAUUGGCAGCAGGAAUAGUAAUUGGAAAAUUACUAUUUUCAAUGGAAAAUAACCCAAAAUCUUACACUGGAUGCUUGGUACCCCUCACUCUAGAAUAUAGCUAUAAUGGAGGAAAUUGUUCAUGAUUUUAGAUUUCAACAAGGACUGGAACCUCCAGACACCUUUAAUAUGAUUUGGCAUUCCUUUUAUGAAAUAUACAGCAGAGCCAUCAUUUUUAAGACAACCGUCAUCACAAGCCUGGCAAAUUUGGAACUAUACUUGAUGAUCCAGUCAAAUUGAUAGUUUUUAUUUAGGCUUUCUUUUAACUCAAGUGCAGGAACUCAGUCUAUGUGCCCAUUUUAUCCACCUCUUCCCCUCAAAGUGUUACAAUUACCAGAGUGCCCUGGUGAGAAUGAUUGACUGUCAAACCGCUCUUGACACGUUAGCUCUGUGACUCUCAGUACCCUUAACUAACUUCAGUUCCUAGGAUUCUUAGGUGGGAGCCAUGACUGUUUAGAGUGAUACGAUAUUGCUUUCAAAGCAUAGUGCAGAUGGGGCCUAAAUCUUGCAUUCUGGUCAUCCUUCCUGUUGGCAGUUGAUGAACUGAAUAUAUAUUCAUAGCUGUCAAGCGUCCCUUAUUUGGCGGGACAGUCCCUUAUCCCAGCGCCGUGUCCCGCUGUUGUCCCUUAUUGAUGAUGUCCCUUAAACGAGCUACUGAAGGUAAUGGGGCCCUUUCUAUGUCCAGCUGUCCUUUGUCAACAACAAAUUGUUGCUGUUUUUUUGUGUUGAAUAUAUGCUAUAUGGUAAUUUAUGGACCUAAUAGGUAUCUAAAGCCAUUUGCACGCAACAAAAUAUGUAUUUUAUCAAAGUAAUUGUUGAUCCCUUAUUUUGGCUGUUGAUCCCUUAUUUUCGAGGCUGUUGGUCCCUUAUUUUCAAAUCUGUAAGUUGACAGCUAUGUAUAUAUUCCGUGUUUUGGAAGGAGCUGCAAACCUGCAAAUAAAUUUCAAAUACAAAGUAAAUCCAUACUGUCCACCGGGUGGCAGCAGAUUCCCAGCAGAACAGAAAAUUGUAUUUCCCAUGAAUUUGUGUUUGGUGAUGCUGAUAGGAGGAUCAGGCUGCAAGAGCUUGCAGUCAAACCUAACUAUGCACGACUGCUAGUUAUUGCACGAAGGGGUUAAGGACCACAGAGUUGUAGAGAGACUCAGGUUACAUCCAAGCCUUUCUAUUCGCCCCCACCCCACCCCGUGCAUCAUGUAACCAUUGAAGGAGGAUGUGUGUAAGCUUGAUCCUGAGCUUACAGUACAUGUUUGGAACUAUAUUCUGCAUUUUCUACUCAACAGUAUGUUGCCUGUAUUAUCAUUGCUGCAGCAUGGAACAAUGCAUGACUGAGACCUUGAAUCUGUAAGUAAAACAUUUUAAACUUACUUAACUGUGUGUGGUCUGCUCAUUGCAAGAGGGGUAGAAAGAGGUCAGCUGCUGUAUGCAGCUGAAUGAGAGGUUUAACAACCUGUAUUCCUAAAACUUUAAUGGGCUGCUUAUUUUGUGAUUUUAACUGGGGCUACUGGGGCUCUCUGUGUGUUAGCCCCCGCAUUUGAAUCCAGAGACUCAGCCAUUUCUUUUUGUUGUUCACACACAAACACAUAUAUUUCGUAUAUUUCAUUUUCCCCCAUACAGGCAAGGUUGUCUGAACCCUCUGCUUCUCCCUCCAGGGAGAGGAGUCAUCCCUCUCUCCAGACUGACUGGCAAGGCAGAUAACUCCUCAACUACUAAAAUAUCAUCCACCUGGAACUGCAUCAGGGACUGGAACCUAACUGUUACAACUCUACAGAAACCAUGAAGGAAAAACAGGGAGCGAACAAAGAAGACAAGAUAACUUCCCCUGCAAGAAAAGGCGGAAGCCAAAAGGAGGGAAAGGAAUUGCUGGACUAAUAAAUUGAACUGGAAUACAAAAAAAGGAGGUAUGAGGAGGUCCGGGAAACAAGUAAAUGAAAGAGAAGUGAUGAAAAGAUGGAAUUGUUUUUAAUUGGUUUUUUUUGUAUUUUGUAUUUUUUUUUCUCUUUCUUAUUUAUGUAUCCUUUUUUUGAAACCUUAAUAAAUAUCAUUUAAAAAAAAGAAAAGAAAAGGCGGAAGCCUCCAGUUAAGGAACAUCUGUCUAAGACAGGGAAAGGAAGCGCUAACAGUAUGUGAGGUGGCAGCAGAAUUCAUUACCCGUGCACCCAGAUAUUGUCAGCAGAGAAAGGAGAGGUGAGCAGAAUGUUCCACUGGACCAUCUUAAAAAAAAUAAAAAUUAAAAUAUCAGAGUAAGACAAAUUUCCAUAUCUGCAAAAUGCUGCUGGAAGACAUUCGCAAUAUACAAGAGCAGUAUCCAGAUCCUGGGCAGGCUUCCUUCGCCUUUCUCCCUAGUUUGGGGUUUGCAUGUUCCCCCUUAACCCCAUCUGUGCCCUCCUGGUGUCCAAACUGGGAAGAAACUUUUGGCAGAAGACCUGCUCUUGAAGGGGUGCUGGAUAGCACUGAGAGACUUGGUGAGUUCAGUAGAAAUAAACACUUUAACCCAGGACUUGUAAAUUGUUAGAGAAGGCAUGGCUAGGUCACGCCCCCUCACCUUCUGCAAGGAAGUAUUGUCUGUUUCUUGUUCCUUUUGUUCCAACCAUGUAGCUGAGCACGUGUCAGAGGCUGGGGCUCCAGACUCACACCGCAUGUUGGAGACUAACACCUGCAUUUUGCAACCAAAAAUACCUUGCCCUUAUGAUUUCUGCUGUUGCAUUGAACAAUGCGUGAGUGAAAUCUGUGAUUACUGUAAGUAAAGCACUUAAACAUACCAAAGUUUGUGGUCUAUUCACUCUAAGAGGGGUAGAGGCUUUGCAAACGCUGCACAGAUCUGUGUUUUAAACUCUGCUGGGGGCUGUUUUGGCAUAAGAGUGGGUCAAGCCCCGUGUGCGCUUUUUUGAAUUCAGGCAGUCAGCCAUUUUUUCUUGGUAGUCCCACACACGUGGGACCUGCAGGAUUAACUGGUGUUCCCAGUUAUUUCCCAGCAGUAACAGUGUACUGCUCGUUUUUUCGGAAACAAGGUUCUAUUACAUCAAGCAGUAGGUCUUUACCACACAGAAAACUGACAGGAUAUUCAUGUUUUAAUAGAUCGAACAGUAUCUUGGAUCUAGAGGCGUCCUUCUACUUUAAGACUUUUUCCAGACUUUAUGUGCAAUGCAUUGAGUCAAGCGCACCACAUCAACGUACCCCAGGCCUCUUUUCUUGUGCAAGGCAAGGAGGAUAUCUUGCUCUAGAGUACAAUUUCUGGAACAUCGG